GACCUUUGAGACAAGCUCCUCGUCUUCAUGCCAAGGCUUAACGCCCAGCUCGCGAUGGGAAGUUCAAGCCGCGGGGGCGGGCACACCAACGUGUCGGCAUCCGUAUUAGCCUCAGAAACAACUCUAGGCGCUUAGACAGUUCCCUAAACUUUCUAAGUUAAAUCCGAGGACGACCUCCUCGACGAAAUGCGCUCGAAACGAAAACUUGCAAAUAUAAAAAAUGGUUUUGUUGGGCAGGCAUACAAUAAUGACGAGCAUGUAUACAAAUGACAAAACCAAAAAAUUUGUUAAGUUAAAAACGAGCAAGCAUAAAGACAUGCAUAAAUUCAUUACGAACAGGCAUAACUUAGCAAAAACAAAAGCGAUAAUUUAAACAUACAAACGAGGAGCAUGAAAUAAACGAGCAGGAUUAACAAAACGGGCACUGUCAUAAAAAUACCGGGCAUAAAACCCACUUGUU
RNAcentral lists this long non-coding RNA (460 nucleotides) under Trifolium pratense (red clover). Its description in RNAcentral is "long non-coding RNA (TPRA_LNC006373)". Lineage: Eukaryota; Viridiplantae; Streptophyta; Magnoliopsida; Fabales; Fabaceae. The record is from RNAcentral.